Long non-coding RNA from Cryptotermes secundus, 644 nucleotides. RefSeq lists it as uncharacterized. The record is from RefSeq and is a predicted model, not a curated record. Lineage: Eukaryota; Metazoa; Arthropoda; Insecta; Blattodea; Kalotermitidae. The transcript is spliced from 4 exons.
UAAUGGCGGUGUUAUCCAGUAUGUGUCAAUUUUCUCAUAAUUACGGUGGCGUGUUUUCCCUUUAAUUGAUAAGUAUUGAUAUCGAUUUGAUGUCAUUGUGAAAUAGGAGUCGACUUGUACGCACGAAAUUAAAUCCCCAUGUUAUUUCUGUAUACGAGUAUGAAUGUAUAAAUGGAAAGAAAGAAAGAAAAUAUGCUCUGCCGCUGGGUGCGUGUCAUCCAGUGGGCAAACAGAAAGGAAAUUCUUCCACUUUCCCUGGGAUUAAGCACGGAGGGUGCUGCAGUGAAUACUUGGCAACAGCUGCAUUUCUUGAGGAGGUUGACAACCUUUCUGAUAGUUUCAAUGGUGAAAUGAGUGUUGACCCAGGGAAAACACUGCGUUGCCCACUCAGCGAUUACAGUCCCCAUAUAGAUCAUUGGAAAAAGGCAAAUAUGGGGAUAAAUAGUUGGAUCUUCCUCAGUGAUGGUAAACUCACAUUUCUUCAUCCUCCUCCUUCACAGAAUUGAUGGCUAGUUAACAUUAUUGCUGCCCAACAUGUUUGGAAGACAGUGAAAAAGCUUACCUUUGCCAUAGUUGUCCUCGAGGUCAUGAUAUUCAUCAAGGCUCCGGAUGGUGUUGGUCCUGUUGUCAAGUCCUGCAAAGGC